RNAcentral lists this transfer RNA (74 nucleotides) under alpha proteobacterium HIMB59. It matches the Rfam family "tRNA". From Rfam's summary of the family: Transfer RNA (tRNA) molecules are approximately 80 nucleotides in length. The record is from Rfam by way of RNAcentral. Lineage: Bacteria; Pseudomonadati; Pseudomonadota; Alphaproteobacteria; Candidatus Pelagibacterales; Candidatus Pelagibacteraceae.
GGGCGUGUAGCUCAGCUGGUUAGAGUACUUGCUCGACACGCAAGGGGUCACAGGUUCGAAUCCUGUCACGCCCA